RNAcentral lists this transfer RNA (91 nucleotides) under Caulobacter sp. Its description in RNAcentral is "tRNA-Ser". It matches the Rfam family "tRNA". Rfam says of the family: Transfer RNA (tRNA) molecules are approximately 80 nucleotides in length. Their secondary structure includes four short double-helical elements and three loops (D, anti-codon, and T loops). The record is from RNAcentral. RNAcentral also lists the same sequence under 6 other names. Lineage: Bacteria; Pseudomonadati; Pseudomonadota; Alphaproteobacteria; Caulobacterales; Caulobacteraceae.
GGAGACGUGCCCGAGAGGCCGAAGGGACUCGUUUGCUAAAUGAGCGUACCCCAAAAGGGUACCGUGGGUUCGAAUCCCACCGUCUCCGCCA